RNAcentral lists this ribosomal RNA (540 nucleotides) under uncultured bacterium. Its description in RNAcentral is "partial 16S ribosomal RNA". It matches the Rfam family "Bacterial small subunit ribosomal RNA", at positions 355 to 911 of the family's 1533-position model. The record is from RNAcentral.
UGGGGAAUAUUGCACAAUGGGCGAAAGCCUGAUGCAGCAACGCCGCGUGAGUGAUGAAGGUCUUCGGAUUGUAAAGCUCUGUCUUUUGGGACGAUAAUGACGGUACCAAAGGAGGAAGCCACGGCUAACUACGUGCCAGCAGCCGCGGUAAUACGUAGGUGGCGAGCGUUGUCCGGAUUUACUGGGCGUAAAGGGUGCGUAGGCGGAUGUUUAAGUGAGAUGUGAAAUACCCGGGCUUAACUUGGGUGCUGCAUUUCAAACUGGAUAUCUAGAGUGCAGGAGAGGAGAAUGGAAUUCCUAGUGUAGCGGUGAAAUGCGUAGAGAUUAGGAAGAACACCAGUGGCGAAGGCGAUUCUCUGGACUGUAACUGACGCUGAGGCACGAAAGCGUGGGUAGCAAACAGGAUUAGAUACCCUGGUAGUCCACGCCGUAAACGAUGAGUACUAGGUGUAGGAGGUAUCGACCCCUUCUGUGCCGCAGUAAACACAUUAAGUACUCCGCCUGGGAAGUACNAUCGCAAGAUUAAAACUCUAAAGUGAA